UACGGAAGGCAGCAGUGGGGAAUAUUGCACAAUGGGCGCAAGCCUGAUGCAGCCAUGCCGCGUGUAUGAAGAAGGCCUUCGGGUUGUAAAGUACUUUCAGUCGUGAGGAAGGUGUUAAGGUUAAUAACCUUAGCAAUUGACGUUAGCGACAGAAGAAGCACCGGCUAACUCCGUGCCAGCAGCCGCGGUAAUACGGAGGGUGCGAGCGUUAAUCGGAAUUACUGGGCGUAAAGGGCACGCAGGCGGUUAAUUAAGUUGGAUGUGAAAUCCCCGGGCUUAACCUGGGAAUGGCAUUCAAGACUGGUUAGCUAGAGUCUUGUAGAGGGGGUAGAAUUCCAUGUGUAGCGGUGAAAUGCGUAGAGAUGUGGAGGAAUACCGGUGGCGAAGGCGGCCCCUGGGACAAAGACUGACGCUCAUGUGCGAAAGCGUGGGGAGCGAAA
RNAcentral lists this ribosomal RNA (440 nucleotides) under uncultured bacterium. RNAcentral's name for it is "bacterial SSU rRNA". It matches the Rfam family "Bacterial small subunit ribosomal RNA", at positions 340 to 773 of the family's 1533-position model. The record is from RNAcentral.